Molecule: ribosomal RNA, 503 nt
Filed under: uncultured Desulfobulbus sp.
Lineage: Bacteria; Pseudomonadati; Thermodesulfobacteriota; Desulfobulbia; Desulfobulbales; Desulfobulbaceae
Description: bacterial SSU rRNA
Rfam family: Bacterial small subunit ribosomal RNA
Source: RNAcentral
GCCAGCCCGCUACAGAAACUUAAGGAAUUCGCGGGGCCGCACAAGCGGUGGAGUAUGUGGUUUAAUUCGAUGCAACGCGAAGAACCUUACCUGGUCUUGACAUCCCGGAGACCCUUAGGAAACUAGGGGGUGCUUCCAUCUGGAAGAAUCUGGAGACAGGUGCUGCAUGGCUGUCGUCAGCUCGUGUCGUGAGAUGUUGGGUUAAGUCCCGCAACGAGCGCAACCCUUGCCUUUAGUUGCCAGCAGUUCGGCUGGGCACUCUAAAGGGACUGCCGGUGUUAAACCGGAGGAAGGUGGGGAUGACGUCAAGUCCUCAUGGCCUUUAUGACCAGGGCUACACACGUACUACAAUGGCCGAUACAAAGGGCAGCGACACUGCGAGGUGAAGCCAAUCCCGUAAAAUCGGUCUCAGUCCGGAUUGGAGUCUGCAACUCGACUCCAUGAAGUUGGAAUCGCUAGUAAUCGUGGAUCAGCAUGCCACGGUGAAUACGUUCCCGGGCCUU